UACGUAGGGGGCGAGCGUUGUCCGGAUUUAUUGGGCGUAAAGAGCUCGUAGGCGGUUCCGUGAGUCGGCUGUGAAAUCUCCACGCUCAACGUGGAGGGGUCAGUCGAUACUGCGGUGACUCGAGUCCGGUAGGGGAGUGUGGAAUUCCCGGUGUAGCGGUGAAAUGCGCAGAGAUCGGGAGGAACACCCGUAGCGAAGGCGGCACUCUGGGCCGGUACUGACGCUGAGGAGCGAAAGCGUGGGGAGCAAA
RNAcentral lists this ribosomal RNA (250 nucleotides) under uncultured bacterium. RNAcentral's name for it is "partial 16S ribosomal RNA". It matches the Rfam family "Bacterial small subunit ribosomal RNA", at positions 524 to 772 of the family's 1533-position model. The record is from RNAcentral.